UCCAAUUAGGCUGACUGGCGCCAUCUUAAUCAAGAGCCAGUGAUUGUGGAAAACAGCCCCUUUUGGUUGUGUAUAUACCUUGUUCUUUUUAUGGAAUUCCUUAAGGGACCUUGGAGAUACUU
Molecule: small nucleolar RNA, 122 nt
Organism: Vombatus ursinus (common wombat)
Lineage: Eukaryota; Metazoa; Chordata; Mammalia; Diprotodontia; Vombatidae
Gene: SNORA70
Rfam family: Small nucleolar RNA SNORA70
About the family: snoRNA U70 seems to be exclusive to mammals and is a member of the H/ACA class of snoRNA which contain H (ANANNA) and ACA box motifs. H/ACA box snoRNAs are involved in the conversion of uridines to pseudouridines (5-ribosyluracil) a constituent of structural RNAs (transfer, ribosomal, small nuclear, and small nucleolar).
Source: Ensembl